GGAAGGGUAUAGCUUGUGGUAGAGCGCAUGCUUAGCGUGCAUGAGAUCCUGGGUUCAAUCCUCAGUACCUCCU
Camelus ferus (Wild Bactrian camel) is the source of this 73-nucleotide non-coding RNA. NCBI's taxonomy places the organism in Eukaryota, Metazoa, Chordata, Mammalia, Artiodactyla, Camelidae. The record is from Rfam.